UACCCGUACCGCAAACCGACACAGGUGGGUGAGGAGAGUAUCCUAAGGCCAGCGAGAGAACUGUUGUUAAGGAACUCGGCAAAAUGACCCCGUAACUUAGGGAUAAGGGGUGCCACCAUCAGGUGGCCGCAGAGAAUAGGCCCAAGCGACUGUUUACCAAAAACAUAGGUUUCUGCUAAGUCGCAAGACGAUGUAUAGGAGCUGACGCCUGCCCGGUGCUGGAAGGUUAAGGGGAUCUGUUAGAGCAAUCGAAGCAGUGAACUUAAGCCCCAGUAAACGGCGGCCGUAACUAUAACGGUCCUAAGGUAGCGAAAUUCCUUGUCGGGUAAGUUCCGACCCGCACGAAAGGC
This 350-nucleotide ribosomal RNA is filed under the name Clostridioides difficile. Its description in RNAcentral is "partial 23S ribosomal RNA". It matches the Rfam family "Bacterial large subunit ribosomal RNA", at positions 1639 to 2000 of the family's 2925-position model. Lineage: Bacteria; Bacillati; Bacillota; Clostridia; Peptostreptococcales; Peptostreptococcaceae. The record is from RNAcentral.